CCGGAUUCUGAAGCCCCGAGCCGUUUAUAGUUUGAGGCACCAUGCUUCCCCCUGGUGGCCGAAGGGAGUUACUGUCGCGGCUAAAGGGGCGUCGCAGUAUAUACACAGCGGGCCCUUUCCCGCCAUACAUUCUAUGCUUUUUGAACACCCGCCGUGGGCUAAGCAUGGGACCCAUGUGGGGUGGGGACACAUGGAGAUAAAGAGAGCCAGGCCCUGGCUGCCAAGGAGCUUUCCUGUAACACCAAUGCAUCAAACAAAAGGCAGCAGUGAGGAUGCCAGAGUCCAUGGGUUUCUAGAAGACAAGUUUUCAACUGCAGAUACAAACAUUAGGACGUCAAUGUAUCUGUUAGGAGACACCUGGACAGUGUUGAGAACACUGAACCUGGAGGCUAAACCCCCAGCUUUCUAUGCCAGCUGAGAGUCUGUGGGCACAUUCCUCAGCGUCUCUGAACCUCGCGCUCCUCCCCUGUGACAUGUAGAUUGUUAAACCCAUCUCACAGGGCUGUCUUCUGCAUUUAAAGAAUAAAAUAACACAUGAGGGGUC
RNAcentral lists this long non-coding RNA (544 nucleotides) under Pongo abelii (Sumatran orangutan). RNAcentral's name for it is "lincRNA". The record is from RNAcentral. Lineage: Eukaryota; Metazoa; Chordata; Mammalia; Primates; Hominidae.